Molecule: long non-coding RNA, 807 nt
Organism: Daktulosphaira vitifoliae (grape phylloxera)
Lineage: Eukaryota; Metazoa; Arthropoda; Insecta; Hemiptera; Phylloxeridae
Exons: 5
Source: RefSeq, a predicted model, not a curated record
AAAAUGUUAAAAAUAAAUCAUUGACUUUUAAAUAUUCUUUUAAAUAAAUUAAAUUUGAAUAGAUAUGGUAUUUGAUUAUUUUCUGAGAGGAUGUGAUGUGAUGCUGUGAGAAUCAUUCAAUCGCCGCUGAACAUCAGCGGCGCUAUUUGCUGUUAGUCAUAUAAUACAGUUGUGUCAGGUCAACAGCUGAUGUACUUACAUUUUUUGGUUUUAUCAAUCAGCUAAACUAUCUCGGUGCUUCUUUAAUAAUAGCAACAAUGAUAUUGGAUCGUUGUGAUUUAAUGAAAUAUGGAGUGAUGAUUUCUGGCAUAGGAAGCUCAAUAGAUUUAUUUCAUUUGAUAUUUAACAAUUCCGAUUCUAACUGGCAUUACAUCAGAUAUCUAUUGUUUGUAAAAAAACUAUUUAGUAAAUAGUCCAGUAUUUUCUAAUACAUACGUUGGUAAAUAUGUUUAAAAAUUAUAAUAUUAUAUUAACCAAAUUUUAUAGUGAUUGUAUUUCAAUUGGUAUGGAUAUUGUUCAUAUACAUUUACAUGUCACAAGAGAGUGUUUUAGGUAAUUCAAAACAAAAUUUUAAAUGGAUCGAAAAUCAGUUAAGCGACCUUGUAUCCAACAUACCUGAUAACUCAAAAAGCCCUACAUUAGCACAGGAAACUUUUACUUCUAUUAGUGAGGGAAAUCCUGAUGAUAAGGAAAAAAAAGAUAUAAAAAAUCAGGAGACUUAGAAUGUGGAAAAAAGUUUAUAGUCUAAUAUUAAUAAUAAACUAUAAGAUAAAAAUACAUGAUUUCAAAAAUUAAUUUAUACAAAUA